UUUAUAGAACCUGCUUUUUCAUCCAGGUAAGCCAUUCUCAAGAGGCAGCCUGCAGAAGUGGAUCUUAUGAUCGAUUGCCUUGUUUCUUGCUUUCAUAUAAGCCCUCACAACAACCAACACCUUAAGUCUUUGUUUUUCUCUGGUCGGCAUUGGAUUGGUGCCUAAGAUUGAUGCUGUGUAUUGUCACUUGGUUGAACUUCGCACUAUGUGUGGUGAAACACUUCAUGAAGCAGUGCAAGGUUGCGGCGCUCACCCAGCAAUACGAAUGGCACCGAGAAUCCAAGAAAACAGUGGCUUGCUGAAACCCAAGGCAGUACAGCAGAAUUAAUUACAGGCCUCAUCCAACUGGUCCCUCAGCCACACAUGCCAGAGAUUGCCCGGGAAGCACUGGAGGUAAGUGGAAAAUGAAUUCCAGGUUCUUGAAGCAAAGGUUGUUACAUGUACAUUCAUGAUAUUCCUUUGGUGUGUGAUUUCUAUGAGUAAUAGGUGGAUGCCAUUUCUGGAAAUGGUAUGUUUAUGUCU
This 522-nucleotide long non-coding RNA is filed under the name Rhinopithecus bieti (black snub-nosed monkey). Its description in RNAcentral is "lncRNA (ENSRBIG00000045039.1)". The record is from RNAcentral. Lineage: Eukaryota; Metazoa; Chordata; Mammalia; Primates; Cercopithecidae.